UCCUACGGGAGGCAGCAGUGAGGAAUAUUGGUCAAUGGGCGGAAGCCUGAACCAGCCAAGUCGCGUGAGGGAAUAAGGCCCUACGGGUCGUAAACCUCUUUUGCCGGGGAGCAAGGGCGGGGACGUGUCCCGGCCCGGAGAGUACCCGGAGAAAAAGCAUCGGCUAACUCCGUGCCAGCAGCCGCGGUAAUACGGAGGAUGCGAGCGUUAUCCGGAUUUAUUGGGUUUAAAGGGUGCGCAGGCGGUCUGUUAAGUCAGCGGUCAAAGCCCGGGGCUCAACCCCGGCCCGCCGUUGAAACUGGCAG
This 305-nucleotide ribosomal RNA is filed under the name uncultured bacterium. RNAcentral's name for it is "bacterial SSU rRNA". It matches the Rfam family "Bacterial small subunit ribosomal RNA", at positions 337 to 639 of the family's 1533-position model. The record is from RNAcentral.